RNAcentral lists this ribosomal RNA (253 nucleotides) under uncultured bacterium. Its description in RNAcentral is "partial 16S ribosomal RNA". It matches the Rfam family "Bacterial small subunit ribosomal RNA", at positions 524 to 776 of the family's 1533-position model. The record is from RNAcentral.
UACAGAGGUGGCAAGCGUUGUUCGGAAUUACUGGGCGUAAAGGGCGCGUAGGCGGCCUUCUAAGUCAGACGUGAAAUCCCCCGGCUUAACCUGGGAACUGCGUCUGAUACUGGGAGGCUCGAGUAUGGGAGAGGGAUGUAGAAUUCCAGGUGUAGCGGUGAAAUGCGUAGAGAUCGGAAGGAACGUCAAUGGCGAAGGCAGCCACCUGGCAUAAUACUGACGCUGAGGCACGAAAGCGUGGGGAGCGAACAGG